Non-coding RNA from Physcomitrium patens, 2483 nucleotides. The record is from RefSeq and is a predicted model, not a curated record. NCBI's taxonomy places the organism in Eukaryota, Viridiplantae, Streptophyta, Bryopsida, Funariales, Funariaceae.
GACCGCGGCGACGCUCUUGGACCACACAAAUAUAUGUGCGGCCCCCGACGCGGCUGCAGCUUAUCCACAGACGCACUGCAGCCUGUGGUUUUGUCCCCGAGUUUGCCGUUCACUCAUGCUUGUCACACGCUCUCUUGUCGAAAAUAGGGAUUGCGAGUUAUGACGUUUUGGCGUUUUCCCUUUCCCGUAUCAGCAUCAGCUUUACGAUUGUUUUGUUUGAAAAGGAAUAUGCUGUAUUGGUUUCAUCGAUGGGGUGAUCGAGCCGGUGAUCGAUCGUCAUCUUUCGGCCGUUGCCGAGUGAUUGAAAAACUCGUGCUCAAGUGUUAAGAGGUUGGAGGUAACGAGGGUUUGUGUAUAUUUUAGCGGGCCAAGAGUUUGGUUAAAGAAUUGGUGUUAUUAAGUGUUGUGAUCAGAAAACUUCGUGGAUCUCGAGUUUUCGUUUGCUUGUGGGAGCUACAUGCUUCUGAUAGCCUUGCUGUCUGCGUUUGGACCCAGCUGGGUGAUUUAGAAGCGCUGUGUCAGCGAUAGUAGUUAUAAUCAUCGAAAAGUCGGCAACCUCUGCAAUUGGACUUUAUUAGAGUGUACAUCGAUCCGUGGGGGAGCGAUUAGAAUUGAUUUCGAUUUUGAACACUAAUAUCAACUGGUACUAACUGGAACAUUUCCCUAUAGCUAUAUGUAAUGCUAGGGUAGUAUAACCGUCCAGAUUAGGGACAAUAUCAAUGUUGGCACCGACGUAUGAUUCCUUUGACCACGGAUGUCUCAACAAAAGCAUUCUGUGUUACAGCCAGAAAAAGGACUUUCAGCAACAUAACGUGAGGUUUUACUCCUAACAAACAUGCCCUUCGUGUUCACAAUUUCUAACUCGUGACUUAUUCCUCAUUCUUCACAACUUCCUGCAUCAAAAUUAAGAAGCUUUGCUGUACUAAGUCCCUGCCAAUGACACAACCCUUUUCCCCCAGGGGACAUCCAAGUCUUUUAAGCUUCAAUCCGCUUUUCAGUCUCAAGCUUUUUCCAGGUAUCAUAGCAAGCUCCACUUUGUUGAAGGCGACCAAAGUUUAGAAGCCGGGUUGAAUUGGCCUCAAGAACCCCUCACCAUCGUCUCUCCUGUAGCCACACAUUCCCACUAUGCCCAGCGCGUUUCAGCCAGAGCCCCUUCAAACUCGGUUGGAGUUUUUUCAACUUUAUUUCAUGCGCUAUUGACAGGGGGUUGCUUCUUCUCCAUUUCCAUGCUGCAACGGAUGUCAAUAUUGGAGGCGGGAUACAGCUUCGUGUCGGUGCUAGGUCCAAUUCAAAAGGCGUAGGAAUAGAAUGGCCAAUCCCUUCUCCAAUUAGUAAGGUGAGUAUAUAAUCUCCACAUGGGCUACAAAUUCUGUUGUUGGUCAAUACUCUAAGCUGUAACUUCCACAGGAUCAUUGAUAUCACAUAUGCACAUUUACACAUGUAUUUUAAUUGCUGGUUUCCCGGCUUAGCUAUUGAAGAUGAAGUAUCAGUAGUAAAUUGCACAUGAGGAUAUCGACUGCUGAGAGACUACAAGAGACGUUCCAACGGCAUACUGGCGCUCAGCUAGAUAUUUCGAAUUAGAAUUAAAUAUGUGACCAAGCUCCCGCCUAGAAUAACCAUCUUUUAAUAUUGUAGUCUGUUGCUAAGCUCUCGCUUUCGUCCUUGUUGAGGACAACCUGCCAGUACAGUCACAGGGCGUCAAGUGGGCGUAGAAUUGAUUAGUAUACUAUUAAGUAGCUCUAGGCUGAUUCAAGCUGGGAUUCUGUAUUGACGGCUCUCGUGUUUUCUGUUAAGUAAAAGCUCGGAUACCUAAUUGGCGUGCAUCGUAAGACAUUGGCAGGAUAUAUACUAGUGUCAGGUCUUGUAUUUGGUAUCUAUAUCAGCUAAAUCAGUGUUCCUUACAAAGAAGUACAGAAAAUCUUCAGAGAUACCAUGACCCGCUGGCCCAGCGUACCUCUACCAAGAUUAAGUGUCGUCAAACCAUUUACAGGACUAAUGCAGUGAAGACCGCGCUAUCUGACUCGUUACUCGACCCAUUUCAUAAUGGAUUCGACACCUCGGUUGUUGGUCGAGAAUUUGAAAAGUCAUCACUGGUUACCAUUUGUAGCCGCCACAAACCAUGACUCGUCAUGCGUUGGCACUAGUUAUUGAGAGUUUUCAAAGCACAACGACUGAUGAAGGUCGAACAACUUCUGUAGUAACACCAACAUGUAAAACAAUAUGCCAGUUACCUAGGUCCGAGAAAGAGGAUCCUCUUCUGUCACGAGCGACUGAAGAGUAAGUAUUGUUGGGGAGCUGCAGGCCUAUUGGUUCUGGCCGUUGUUGCCGUCAGAGCUCCACAUCCCCCCUGCUCCUAGGGCCGAAAAAGCGCUCUCAGCAAACCACAUUACGGAGAAUUGAGAAGAACAUGAAAUAAGUGAUGAGAUCGACUGAAUAUAUCUCGUUCAGAAUUUGAAUAGGCAAAACACGCCAAAAUUUGUGUC